Molecule: unclassified non-coding RNA, 338 nt
Filed under: Hevea brasiliensis (rubber tree)
Lineage: Eukaryota; Viridiplantae; Streptophyta; Magnoliopsida; Malpighiales; Euphorbiaceae
Source: RNAcentral
UAUACGGGGCCCAUAAGGGUCCGAACAGGCCAUGAGAUAUUGCGUAUAUCCUCAUACUUGAUGCGUAACUUCAAGUUCGUGACUGUCCCAUUCUUUGUUCUCCAUGGAACCGCUGACAAAGUGACAGAUCCACUAGCAUCCCAGGAUUUGUACAAUGAGGCAGCCUCUAUGUUCAAAGACAUAAAGCUCUAUGAUGGCUUCUUGCAUGACCUUCUAUUUGAGCCAGAACGUGAAGAGAUUGGGCAGGACAUUAUCAGUUGGAUGGAGAAGAGAUUAGGGUACCAAUUCUGAAAAUGUUUAUAGUCAGUGGUAGGUUAUCUUGCACGAUAGGGAAUGGG